AGCGAACGCUGGCGGCAGGCCUAACACAUGCAAGUCGAACGAACUCUUCGGAGUUAGUGGCGGACGGGUGAGUAACACGUGGGAACGUGCCUUUAGGUUCGGAAUAACUCAGGGAAACUUGUGCUAAUACCGAAUGUGCCCUUCGGGGGAAAGAUUUAUCGCCUUUAGAGCGGCCCGCUUCUGAUUAGCUAGUUGGUGAGGUAAAGGCUCACCAAGGCGACGAUCAGUAGCUGGUCUGAGAGGAUGAUCAGCCACAUUGGGACUGAGACACGGCCCAAACUCCUACGGGAGGCAGCAGUGGGGAAUCUUGCGCAAUGGGCGAAAGCCUGACGCAGCCAUGCCGCGUGAAUGAUGAAGGUCUUAGGAUUGUAAAAUUCUUUCACCGGGGACGAUAAUGACGGUACCCGGAGAAGAAGCCCCGGCUAACUUCGUG
RNAcentral lists this ribosomal RNA (433 nucleotides) under uncultured bacterium. RNAcentral describes it as "partial 16S ribosomal RNA". It matches the Rfam family "Bacterial small subunit ribosomal RNA", at positions 29 to 507 of the family's 1533-position model. The record is from RNAcentral.